AUCUGAAACCGUUAUGAGGGAAGCGGAUUGCGUUGAAUUGACGGGUGCCGGUGUGUUCAGCUUGCUUCGGCGGGUGUAGUGACAUUGGAUGCUUAUUUGCUGUGAAUUUCUGGUCGCUGAUUGUGGGCAGCUGGAGGUUGAGGGCUCCAUGAAUUUUUGUGUGAGGACAGCAGAGUGACGACGCGAUACGACCCGUCUUGAAACACGGACCAAGGAGUCUAGCACGGCUGCGAGUCUGAGGGUGCAAGCUCGAGGGCGCAGUGAAAGCAAUGCAGAAUGUGUCAGUUUAGGGCGGCAGGCGAUCGUUGAUUGCAUGUCCGACCCGGAGCAGUCGUGGUGGUACCCGAAAGAUGGUGAACUAUUCCUGAGUAGGGUGAAGCCGGAGGAAACUCUGGUGGAGGCCCGUAGCGGUGCUGACGUGCAAAUCGCUCGUCAAACUUGGGUAUAGGGGCGAAAGACUAAUCGAACCAUCUAGUAGCUGGUUCCCUCCGAAGUUUCUCUCAGGAUAGCGGGCCGACAUGUGGGUUGUUUUGUGCGGUAAAGCGAAUGAUUAGCGCACUCGGGGGCUUAGGCCUUCGGGCGAUUCUCAAACUUUAAAUGCGCAAGGGCGUCGCUGCGUGGAGAGCGGCGCCAUGAAAAACGUCGGCCCUGUGGGCCACUU
RNAcentral lists this ribosomal RNA (661 nucleotides) under Asparagopsis armata. Its description in RNAcentral is "eukaryotic LSU rRNA". It matches the Rfam family "Eukaryotic large subunit ribosomal RNA", at positions 397 to 1136 of the family's 3401-position model. Lineage: Eukaryota; Rhodophyta; Florideophyceae; Bonnemaisoniales; Bonnemaisoniaceae. The record is from RNAcentral.